CUAGAGCGAAAGCUUGGUGAGCACCUACAACCUAUCGGUUGUUAAGCCAGACAGCGGGUCUGUAGCUCAGCUGGUUAGAGCACCGUCUUGAUAAGGCGGGGGUCGUUGGUUCGAACCCAACCAGACCCACCAAUCAUGGGGGCAUAGCUCAGCUGGGAGAGCACCUGCUUUGCAAGCAGGGGGUCGUCGGUUCGAUCCCGUCUGCCUCCACCAAAAGCCGUUACUCAAGUCGCCGCAGGAUGCGGUGGUUUCGGUAACAGUUUUUACUGUUCAGGCUGUUGGAUCUUUAAAAAUUCGGAGAAGUAAAGUAAUGCGUUCCUCAGGAAUGGGGAGCGCAUGGGUUGUGAUUGUAUCUUCUACGUUUCCGUACUUUGAACCAGCGCGGAAACGAGAACACGAGUUGCUUGCUGUAUGACGUGUUGCCGAGGAAUCGGAGUUCAGCGUUAUAGGGUCAAGUGACUAAGUGCAUGUG
RNAcentral lists this transfer RNA (472 nucleotides) under uncultured bacterium. RNAcentral describes it as "16S-23S ribosomal RNA intergenic spacer". The stretch from base 56 to 129 matches the Rfam family "tRNA". The record is from RNAcentral.